Molecule: ribosomal RNA, 459 nt
Filed under: uncultured bacterium
Lineage: Bacteria
Description: partial 16S ribosomal RNA
Rfam family: Bacterial small subunit ribosomal RNA
Source: RNAcentral
CCUACGGGAGGCAGCAGUGAGGAAUAUUGGUCAAUGGUCGGGAGACUGAACCAGCCAAGCCGCGUGAGGGAUGAAGGUACAGAGUAUCGUAAACCUCUUUUGUCAGGGAACAAAGGCGGGGACGCGUCCCCGGAUGAGUGUACCUGAAGAAAAAGCAUCGGCUAACUCCGUGCCAGCAGCCGCGGUAAUACGGUGGAUGCGAGCGUUAUCCGGUUUUAUUGGGUUUAAAGGGUGCGCAGGCGGUCUGUUAAGUCAGCGGUCAAAGCCCGGGGCUCAACCCCGGACCGCCGUUGAAACUGGCAGUCGCGAGUUGGAGAGAAGUAUGACGAAUGCGCGGUGUAGCGGUGAAAUGCAUAGAUAUCGCGCAGAACUCCGAUUGCGAAGGCAGCAUGCCGGCUCCACACUGACGCUGAGGCACGAAAGCGUGGGUAUCGAACAGGAUUAGAUACCCGUGUAGUC